GCCAUGGUUGCCCAUAGUUGUGCUAGCUAAUAUUAAUCGCGGGAUAAUUAAGGUUUUACGUGAGCUCUUUUCGAGACAAAAUAGCCUGUUGUGAUAAAAUGUCUGUUGUUUUCGUACCGAAGAGGCAGCGUGGAAAGGCAGAAAUAAACCAGGAAAUCAUCCAGAGGCUACUAGAUGAAAACGACCAGCUGGUGAAGUGCAUAGCGGAGUACAUGCAGAGGGGGCGUGCCACCGAGUGUGUCCAAUAUCAACAGAUUCUGCAUCGCAACAUUGUCUACCUGGGCACCAUAGCGGACGCCAGCCCAGACACGCCCUCGGAAACGACAGAGACUCAAGAAAAUGGAGAAUGACCUGAAGACGGGAUGAGAAAGAGGUGAAGAGGGGAAGGAUGAAGAGGGGAUGAGGGAGAGGUGAAGAAGUGGAGGAUGAAGAGGGGAUGAGGGAGAGGUGAAUGGUUGCUGCUGGGCUGUAGUGCUGUUGUCCAGACUCAGACUUUAGUCCGGGUCGAGUCCUCUUUUCUACAGACCGUUUCUCGAAAGCGUCUUUGCUAUCGAGCAAGUCCUUCGUACGAGCGACUCAACUCUCUCUCGACGGCGACGCUCACAACUAAAUCCAAGGGAAUGGUGUUAUGCCGUAAGACGGUCUUAAGACGGUUAGCAACGACAAUAAUCGAGAAACGGGCCCCUGGACUUGCUAGCUGGUGAACUCAGAACUGUCUUGGAUUUGGAAAAUGGUCUUGCCAAAUACCGCUUUUGGAUUCGGCCGAGUAGUUCUUAAUUUUAUUUAGAAGAUUAGCCAUCAUAUAUUUUGAAGUGGUGGCUUAAUCCAAUAACACGCUAGUUAAUCUUCACAGAAAUGACGAUAACAUGAAUAUUUGAAGGCAAACUAAAUGUCAUGCAUCGUCUUCAUUGAUUUCCACUGACCAACAUGCGAUUCCAACUGGACUUGGACUCGAACCUCUUUGGACUUGUCUCAGACUCUUCAAAAAGGGACUUGACUACAUCAUACACACGUGUGUUUAAAUGGUUUGGACUUGACUACAUCAUACACACGUGUGUUACAAUGUUUUGUGCUAUUGACUGCACAGGUGUGUAUUGCGUUCUUGCCAAUAAAUGUAGUUUUUUU
Molecule: RNA transcript, 1125 nt
Organism: Engraulis encrasicolus (European anchovy)
Lineage: Eukaryota; Metazoa; Chordata; Actinopteri; Clupeiformes; Engraulidae
Gene: ss18l2
Gene name: ss18, like 2
Exons: 6
Source: RefSeq, a predicted model, not a curated record